GAUGAACGCUGGCGGCGUGCUUAACACAUGCAAGUCGAACGAUGAUGCCCAGCUUGCUGGGUGGAUUAGUGGCGAACGGGUGAGUAACACGUGAGUAACCUGCCCUUGACUCUGGGAUAAGCCUGGGAAACUGGGUCUAAUACCGGAUACGACCAUCUGGCGCAUGUCAUGGUGGUGGAAAGCUUUUGUGGUUUUGGAUGGACUCGCGGCCUAUCAGCUUGUUGGUGGGGUAAUGGCCUACCAAGGCGACGACGGGUAGCCGGCCUGAGAGGGUGACCGGCCACACUGGGACUGAGGCACGGCCCAGACUCCUACGGGAGGCAGCAGUGGGGAAUAUUGCACAAUGGGCGCAAGCCUGAUGCAGCGACGCCGCGUGAGGGAUGACGGCCUUCGGGUUGUAAACCUCUUUCAGUAGGGAAGAAGCGAAAGUGACGGUACCUGCAGAAGAAGCGCCGGCUAACUACGUG
Molecule: ribosomal RNA, 467 nt
Filed under: uncultured bacterium
Lineage: Bacteria
Description: partial 16S ribosomal RNA
Rfam family: Bacterial small subunit ribosomal RNA
Source: RNAcentral